Ictalurus punctatus (channel catfish) is the source of this 2981-nucleotide long non-coding RNA. Lineage: Eukaryota; Metazoa; Chordata; Actinopteri; Siluriformes; Ictaluridae. The record is from Ensembl.
GCUUCCUCGGUGCAGGAUGAUUGAAUGGGUGUUGCGCCUUGUAUGUUUCAUCAAAGGUUCUGGUCCAAGGUGAAGUUUUAUCAAGUGAUCAUCAGCUAUUUAGAAUAUGAGAGAUAGACACAUUCAAACGACACAAGAGGCUAAAUAACUUGUUGAAUAUUUUAUUUGCAAACAAAGUAGUAAUAUCUUAGAUUCCGUAAAAAUAUACAUUUUGAAACUCGUGACGGCUAUAUUUACACGAACGGAGAACGCCUUUAAAACAAAAUGUACCGGUCUGGAGAGAGAAGGAAAAAACAAGAAAAAAACAAGAAUAAAGCUACAGCUGAGAAAAGUGGGGGGAUUUGUACGACAUCUACUUUCCCUCCAUUACAGUCUGGACAGAUUUCUGUAAAGUCUGAAACUGAAUCGGUGGAACUCUGAGAGACAGACGAGUCUGCGUGACGACUCGGUGAACACCGAAGCAAAGCAAACCCAGUAUCUGCUCAAAACAGUUCCUUCAUCUUCCUUUAAUAGACAGUGUUUCUGUUUAUUUUUCUUGGUAUUACAGUAUAAAGUUCCACCGCCUUGUAUGGAUCAGAGGAACGGAUUUUUAUUUACUUAUCAAACCCAUUACCACCCGCAUUAAAUUUACCGCUAAACGCACGAUGGUCUGGGAAAACGCGUCAGAUAUCGCUAAUGAUUUUACUUUCUAAUUUCGCCUUGGCGUCUUCCUGUUAAGGUCGUGAUGUGUAAGCAGUCAGUUCAAUAUACGCUGAAAAGAAGUGUGAUUUUUCUCACAGUUUGAUCUUGUUGCUGGAAACGGACGUAAUCCGAAUCAAUUCAGUGUGUGAUCGGAUAGUCAAAAUGUCUGCAAUGCUCCUGCGAUCACAUCAUCAUCAUCAUCAUCAUCAUCAUCAAAACAGAGAAGAGCGCUUACACGCUCUGUACAGACGACAGCGGAGAAACUUUUCAAAUGUUUCAAUGAGCUAAUAAAAAAAAAUAAUAGUUAAAAAGAUGAAGCAGCGAUGAUUUCCUCACUGAUGUUAGCGUGAACAGCGGUCAGUCGAGUGAGGAGACGACGAUGGGGCUCGGGUUGAAACCCGGCGAGCGACUAUUACUUCAGGUGAUGAGACAGACUUUUGUGGACGACGCUCAGAAUCAAAGCGAGAACUCAUUUCACAUCGUAAACAUAGAAUUCUUUACAAUUUUAGCAAAUUGCAUUUAGUUUUCCCAUAUAUACAUGGUGUUCCAAAAGUAUCCGUACAUACAGUAGGGGAAAUGAACUCUUUUUAGCAAAAUGUCUUCCAAAAAUGGUCAUACUUAGUUUAUAUUAUAUAUAGUUUUCUGAGACAGCCUUUAAGAACGUCUUUGACAAAAGAAGAACGUAUUGAAAUCAUCCUCAAGGCUGGAUCGGGAAACUGUCGUAAGGUUGCGAUGGACUUUAACGGGGAAACACGGCGAGCACAUCAACACACACGACACUGUUGCUCGACUUAUUAACAAAUUCAAAAAGACUGGAAGAGUUGCGAACAGACCAGGAAGUGAACGUCCACGAACGUCCACUGACGAACACAACCCACGUGGUUCUGGUGUACAUAGCACUCUAUGUAUGGAGACUUUUGCGACACCUUGUAUAUUAGGUUAUAAAUGUAGAGGAAGGCAGAGCAUCUUUUAGUGGAAUUGGAAUGAAAUCUUGAAACGCAAUUUCCUCCUUUUGUCAUUUGCCAAUGUGAAGGGUUUUCCCAAGCCGCAGCGCAUAUAAGUUUAGAUUCCUCCAUUUAAAAGGUGCUUUGAUCCGAAAUGACUCAGAAACCAUCAGCGAGUCGUCAAGGGUUAGUCAGAAAGUUUCAAAAAUAACAGACUCACAGACAUAGCUGUAAUCAUGGCCUAGUUAGGACAGCGUUAAUGUUAAUGUUAAUGUUAAUGUUGUACACUACUAAUUAGCACUAGUGUUGGGAUUCUACACUCUGCAUGCAAUCACCUCCCUUUCUUAAAACAGCAUUGUUGAGGACCAUCACACAACGGUGUCAAAUACGAUUUUAAAGACCACUCGAGCCUUUUUGGAUUUUGCACGACAUCUACUGAUGCUAGAACGAGCGGGAGAGUGGGAAAAUGUGGCAUCGCUAGGCACAGAGGCUCAUAAACUGCCCUGAAAUGCCACCUGAGACCCAGAGAACCCGACGAGAAGAACGGCUGGAGGCUAUGCAGCUUGUUUUCGUUUCCUCGGGUCCAAGUGAUGUUGCGGAGACAGCGUACACACACAUGCACACACUCGUACUGCAAACGGUGCCAGAAAUGGAUGAUGAGCUGGGCACACAGUGCGGGACAUCGGUGAUUCCGAGAAACACACACUUUGUCAUGUGGAGCGAUUUGAUAUGUGGACGUGGUGUAGUAGAGUGGGGUUAAAGCCACGCAGCGCCUUGCCCCUGUUCCCUGCUGGCUCAGCUCCAUCCUUCAUCCUCCACCCUGCUGACAGCACAUCCAUCAAUCUUAGUGAAGCCAUUGCACCCAGCAACAUCGCCCUGCAAGCACUCGCUUCGAUUGGAAGCGAGUACACUCGUUCGUGUGCGCGAGAGAGAUAGAUAUUGUUCGGCCGAAUGUGCGGACAUGUAUAAAAGUAAGAUUGUCACGUGCGUGUGUUAUAUGAUUAUAGAGAAAGGUUACAGGAAGAUAUGAAAUCAAGUCCAGAUGAGCAGUCUGCCGGAUCCCACGCACAGCCCUACAGGAAUGAUCAUAGGCACAAUAAAUUAAAGAUAGGGGUGGAUUGAUUUAAAACAGUGGUUCUGAAUGUCGGGGGGACGUCCAUGAUGUUAUAUUUAGAUACUUAGAUAUGUGUUUAGAAUUCACAACCCGCCAUUAGCAAAGUUAUGUUUAUUAUUAAGGUCUUAUAGGCUGUACCAGAUCUUACUGGUCCCUUGAUUUGAAUGGCUUUAAUCCAACGUAACACAAACACUUAAAUCUUCAGUAAGCGCGUGAGCCGGAUAUAUAUAUAUAUAUAUAUA